AUAAGGUUAAGUUAAUAAGGGCGCACGGUGGAUGCCUUGGCACUAGAAGCCGAUGAAGGACGUGACUAACGACGAAAUGCUUUGGGGAGCUGUAAGUGAGCAAUGAUCCAGAGAUGU
This 117-nucleotide ribosomal RNA is filed under the name Vibrio parahaemolyticus. Its description in RNAcentral is "partial 23S ribosomal RNA". It matches the Rfam family "Bacterial large subunit ribosomal RNA", at positions 1 to 113 of the family's 2925-position model. Lineage: Bacteria; Pseudomonadati; Pseudomonadota; Gammaproteobacteria; Vibrionales; Vibrionaceae. The record is from RNAcentral.